Molecule: ribosomal RNA, 497 nt
Filed under: uncultured bacterium
Lineage: Bacteria
Description: partial 16S ribosomal RNA
Rfam family: Bacterial small subunit ribosomal RNA
Source: RNAcentral
GAUGAACGCUGGCGGCGUGCCUAACACAUGCAAGUCGAGCGAAAAGACGCGGAGCUUGCUCCUCUGACGUUAGCGGAGGGCGGGUGAGUCACACGUGGAUAACCUACCUAUAUGACUGGGAUAACUUCGGGACACCGGAGCUUAUACCGGAUAAUAUACUGAUCCGCAUGGUUCAAUGGUGAAAGACGGUUUUGCUGUCUCUUAUAGAUGGAUCUGCGCCGCAUUAGCUAGUUGGUAAGGUAACGGCUUACCAAGGCAACGAUGCGUAGCCGACCUGAGAGGGUGAUCGGCCACACGGGAGCGGGGACACGGUCCAGACGCCUACGGGAGGCAGCAGUAGGGAAUCUUCCGCAGUGGGCGAAAGCCUGACGGAGCAACGCCGCGUGAGUGAUGAAGGUCUUCGGAGCGUAAUGCUCUGUUAUGAGGGGAGAACAGAUGUGGAAUUAACUGUGGACGUCUUGACGGUACCGAAUAAGAAAGCCACGGCUAACUACGUG